ACAAACUGCUGUUUUGCUUUGACAUCAAUAGAAUUGGGCUAGACAUCAAAAACAAGACUGCAGGUCCCGGACUACCCAUCAGCAACACCACAGGAGAUCCGGGGGAGCGGUCUGUGCCAGAGUUUGAGCCUGCAAUUCUAUGCUGGAGCCUGGUGACUGCAUUCGUGAACUGGAGCCUGAACCCACACAUACUCUAGAUAUGCUCUAGAUCCAGGCAAAGACAACGAGGAAUAAGAGAAGGCUGCCCACAGGUGAAUGAGUGGAGAUCCUCACCAAGUUGCAGGAGACCAUCAAGGGCCACCAAGCCCCAAGCCAGCUCUGCAGCAAGUGUGAUCUGCAGUCUCCCAG
Long non-coding RNA from Pristis pectinata (smalltooth sawfish), 348 nucleotides. RefSeq lists it as uncharacterized. The transcript is spliced from 3 exons. The record is from RefSeq and is a predicted model, not a curated record. Lineage: Eukaryota; Metazoa; Chordata; Chondrichthyes; Rhinopristiformes; Pristidae.